RNAcentral lists this ribosomal RNA (747 nucleotides) under uncultured bacterium. Its description in RNAcentral is "bacterial SSU rRNA". It matches the Rfam family "Bacterial small subunit ribosomal RNA", at positions 42 to 807 of the family's 1533-position model. The record is from RNAcentral.
GCGUGCUUAACACAUGCAAGUCGAACGAUGAAACCUAGCUUGCUAGGUGGAUUAGUGGCGCACGGGUGAGUAAUAUAUAGGUAACGUGCCUCUUAGUCUGGGAUAGCCAUUGGAAACGAUGAUUAAUACUGGAUACUCCUUCUAACUCUAAUGUUAGUCGGGAAAGUUUUUCGCUAAGAGAUCGGCCUAUUUCCCAUCAGCUUGUUGGUAGUGUAAGAGACUACCAAGGCUAUGACGGGUAGCGGGUUUGAGAGGAUGAUCCGCCACACUGGUACUGAGACACGGACCAGACUCCUACGGGAGGCAGCAGUGAGGAAUAUUGCACAAUGGAGGAAACUCUGAUGCAGCAACGCCGCGUGGAGGAUGACGCAUUUCGGUGUGUAAACUCCUUUUAUAUGUCAAGAAAAUGACGGUAGCAUAUGAAUAAGCACCGGCUAACUCCGUGCCAGCAGCCGCGGUAAUACGGAGGGUGCAAGCGUUAUUCGGAAUCACUGGGCGUAAAGGACGCGUAGGCGGGAUGCCAAGUCUGAUGUGAAAUCCUAUGGCUCAACCAUAGAACUGCAUUGGAAACUGGUAACCUAGAGUAUGGGAGGGGGGAGAUGGAAUUAGUGGUGUAGGGGGUAAAAUCCGUAGAUAUCACUAGGAAUACCGAAAGCGAAGGCGAUCUCCUGGAACAAUACUGACGCUAAGGCGUGAAAGCGUGGGGAGCAAACGGGAUUAGAUACCCCGGUAGUCCACGCCCUAAAC